Syzygium oleosum is the source of this 1523-nucleotide long non-coding RNA. RefSeq lists it as uncharacterized. The transcript has 3 exons. The record is from RefSeq and is a predicted model, not a curated record. Lineage: Eukaryota; Viridiplantae; Streptophyta; Magnoliopsida; Myrtales; Myrtaceae.
AAAAUAAAAUAGGAGAAGAAGAUAAGACUUAUGACCCCGAGUGCCUCUUCAAUCUCCCAAAAGAAACCUCUGUUGGGAGCCGCAUAUAAUUCACAAUGCUAGAAGAUCACAAAUAAGAGAAUGGCAUCGCUCAAAGUUCGAAGAAGAACGUCACCAGCAAGUUGCAGAGAGAGUCCUACACAUUUCUCCAUGUAACUGGAAAAAUGCAAUUUGUCAGGUCGUGCUAACAUGGAAAACUCCUGAGCAAGUUUCUACGGUUUGCCACAGGAAAAAACAAAUGGAGCAAUUUCCAUCGUCAUAAAAGAAACGAACUUGUUCGGUUUUAAAAUCAGAAAGAUAACACAGCUACUGAAUUCCGAGACGGCCAAGAAAAUUUGUAAGAGGAUCAAUGAUAACAGGUUACAGCUACAGGGCAUAGCUACUAAUAAAAAUAAAAAUAAAAAUAAAAGAAGAGAAAAAUUGAAGAAGCAGUUGAACAGGCGGAGGGGCUGAACUUGGAAAAAGGAAAAAAGAGAGGGCUUUUUGGUCUUUUUAACUUGGUAAUUUAAGAGUUGUUAAUUUAGUUUGUUAGUAACUUACUAAUAUUAUUAUGCAAUUACCGACUUUUUUGUUCAUUUGUGAAGCACCAACUUUUAUUUGUGUAAUUUACUAUCGUUUCGGAUUUAUUAACUCUUAAAUGAAAAAUAUCGAACUAAAAUUAGUGUGACUUACAACUUCUGUCAUAUUAACUUACCAACUAGUAUUUUGGAUUGCAAGCUGUCGUUUGAGUUACUUAUUAAACUCUAAUUGUUUGGCCUAAUUCAUCAAUUUUAAUGAAGUUACCAACUUUUAUUUACUAUGGUUGGCAAUUCCUUAUUUACUAACCUUUUCAGCAAUUGCCAUUCUAAAUUAGUGUAACUCGUCAACUUUUCUCCCAUUAUAUUACCACCUAAUAUCGGGUCAACUCUCAUUGAGAUUUGACCCGCACCCACUUCACCCCAAACCCAAAAACAAAAAAAAAAAACAACAAAGGACUCUCAUUGAGUUAUUGACGGACAUCUGUUUACGUUUCUAAUCUGCUAACUUUUCUUACCGACAAAUUUUUAGUUGAAUUUCUUAGCCACGCCUUAAUUUACCGACUCUUUUCCAAAAAUUACCAACUUACUUUUUAGCCAAAAAAGAAAAAAAUUGUUCUUAAGUUUUACAAAGCGAUUUAUCAACUUUUUUUUCGAUUAAGUUAUUAACUAGUUUGAGGCUCUUAUUAAUUUAACCACUUUUUUAUUGGGUUACUUAAUUGGCCAAAAGUUUGCAGGAAUAAAAGUAUAUCAUAAAAUAGUUGGUAAAUCUAAAGCUUUGAUAACAAGGACAAAUAGAAGUUGGAAAAAGAUAAGAAAAUUAUUAGAGAAGAGAAGUUGGUAAUUUAAGGCUGAACUUGGAAAAAGGCAAAAAGGGAAGGCUUUUUAGUCUUUUUACCCGACGGACCGGUUUCGGGUCGGUCGGGUUUUUUGGGGGAAUUGCAAAUAAAGAGAAAACUCUCGAAGCCA